This 243-nucleotide long non-coding RNA is filed under the name Lathyrus oleraceus (garden pea). RNAcentral's name for it is "Pisum sativum (pea) long non-coding RNA (PSAT_LNC027154)". The record is from RNAcentral. Lineage: Eukaryota; Viridiplantae; Streptophyta; Magnoliopsida; Fabales; Fabaceae.
GAAUGAAUAGUAUCGUACCCCAUAUUUUGUCCAUCCUUCAUAUGUUUUCUAGUGUCACUUUAUUUCGAAUAACUGAAAUGACACAAUUGGUAGAAGAGCAUGUGUAAGGAGUUACAAGCACGAGGUCCUAGGUUUUAGUCCCACAUUUUUCAUUUUUAUCUUUUUUCUCUUUUAUUUGUUUUUACCCUUAUUUGUAAAAAAAAUCAAAAAAAUCAUAUUUUUAUUUAUUUUUGUUAUAAUUUU